RNAcentral lists this long non-coding RNA (1756 nucleotides) under Homo sapiens (human). Its description in RNAcentral is "HSALNT0329128". Lineage: Eukaryota; Metazoa; Chordata; Mammalia; Primates; Hominidae. The record is from RNAcentral.
CUUCUGGGAGCCUUCUGCAUUCCGUGGUUUGGGUCCCUUUCCUCCAUCUUCAAAACCAGUCUAACAGCAUUUUCAUAUCUCUAUGAUACUAAUUUCCUCUUUUUUGAGGCAUAAACAUAUUUUCAUUGAAAAUCGUGAAGAAUUGAGAAGGAAAGGAGUCUGAAAUUUUAAAUGGAGACUUCUCUCUUGCUGGCUUAGGUAAAGCAAGCCCCACAUGGCAAAGAACUGAGGGACAGACAAUAAGAAACAAGCUCUCAGCCCAACAAGCCACAAGGAAGUGAAUUUUGCCAACAACCAAGUGAGCUUGGAAGCAGAUCCUUCCAUAAUCAAGCUUUGAGACAAAACUGCAACCUGGAUUGACCCCUUGACUGCAACUUUGAAGAGAACAACUAAAUUGUGUCCUUACUGCUGAUCCACAGGAUUCUGUGUUGCUUUAAACUACUGUUUGUGGUAACAUUGUAACACAAAUAUACAUAACCAAUACCAUUUACAUGGUGCUUACUAUAUGUCAGGCACUAUUCCAAGAGUUUACUCUUUUAAUCUACGUAACUCAAGGAUAUAAUUCAUCUCAUUUUAUAAAUAAAGAAGAGAACACAGAGCUUAAAUAACUUGUCAAAGUUCACAGAGCAAGCAUCUCCAAUCAAAAUAUAUAAUAAUAUGCUUCUCUGUAAAAAUAAUAUUUUGUUAAUGAAAUGGAGUUUAAUAGGCCUGUAUGCUACCCACAUCUGAAUUCCACUGAAGUAUUUUCUCACAAAUAUUUUAUACCUCACAAAAUAUUUUAUACACAAAUAUUUUAUAUCUCACAAAAAUUUUUAUACCUCCUGGCAAACUCAAUCAAACCAAGAAAUAGGAUGCCUUAAUUGGUUAGACAAGGGAGAGUUGAAAUUCGUUUCAGCUUGUCUGCAAUCUGUUUGUAACACAGAGAAGAAAUUUUUGCCAGAAGACAAUUUAACGAGGGUGAUGUAAAUAUUUUAGCCAAUAUCAUGUAACCAUCUUCUUCCCAUAUUAACUAUCUUGUUCCAUAAUUUCCAUCCCCCACUUAAACAAUCCUGAUAUUGCCUAAUGUUAAAAUAUGUUUAAAAGAAAAGUUUUAACUUAGGCUAAAAUAUCAUUUUCAUAAAUAGAGCUAAGGAAAUGACAAUUGAUUAGAAAAUAAAUGUCAUGUUGCCACAUUACUGAACUACAUUAUACUAUAGGAUAUCCCAAGUACUGUAAUGUGGAGUAGUGUUAGAUUUUGGAUAACAGAUGGGAGACCAGUUUUGAUGCAAAGAUUUUAGUUGAUUUCCUGAGUUAAAUCAGAUGUUCAUCCCUAUAAAUUAAGUAGCAAUCUUAUCCCUAUUCUAGCAUUAUAAAUGCCUCUAUUAUAUCAUGUAAUAAAUGUUGACCAUAGUUAAAAUACAGAAGUGUGACAUAUUUCUUUGAUAUAACCCCAUAAACAUCCCCUACCCGUCUGUCCUUCCUUAGCAUUCAGAGUACUCUAGCCACAUGGAACUACCAUACCAAAACAUUUGUUUUAUGAGUGAAUAGCUUAAUUGCUGAUAUCCUUAUAGAAAACACAUACCUAUGUAUGUGUAAUAAUUUCAUACCAUUGUUCAGUUUAUUGAAUGUUGAAGAUAUUAAACAGGACACUUGUGUAAUGUAACUGCUCUUGGAUUAGUCACAAUAGAAAGGUAUUUGCUUAGGUUGUCAGCUGUGACAAACUGAAUCACUAAAUUACCUCAAUUUUAAAAUUAAUAAAAGAUAUUUAAGAUAUAUC